Molecule: non-coding RNA, 92 nt
Filed under: human gut metagenome
Also listed under: 1 other name
Description: THF riboswitch
Rfam family: THF (Tetrahydrofolate) riboswitch aptamer
About the family: THF riboswitch presents a pseudoknot that joins P1-P2 and the loop of P3 and two THF binding.
Source: RNAcentral
GCAGAGUAGCACCAAAAGCGUUAAGUGCCGUAUAACGGGAUGUUGAAUACGGACGAAAAGGCUUUUCGCCUUGCGGUUUUUGGGCGCAUCCA